Molecule: ribosomal RNA, 405 nt
Filed under: uncultured bacterium
Lineage: Bacteria
Description: bacterial SSU rRNA
Rfam family: Bacterial small subunit ribosomal RNA
Source: RNAcentral
GGAAUUUUCGGCAAUGGGGGGGAACCCUGACCGAGCAACGCCGCGUGAACGAAGAAGUUAUUCGUAAUGUAAAGUUCUUUUAUCAGGGAAGAAAGAGGAAUUUGACGGUACCUGAGGAAUAAGCUCCGGCUAACUACGUGCCAGCAGCCGCGGUAAUACGUAGGGAGCGAGCGUUAUCCGGAAUUAUUGGGCGUAAAGGGUGCGUAGAUGGAAUAGUAAGUCUUUUGUAAAAAUGCUGGGCUCAACCCAGUAGGGCAAAAGAUACUGCAAAGCUAGAGUAUGACAGAGGCAAGUGGAACUACAUGUGUAGCGGUAAAAUGCGUAAAUAUAUGUAAGAACACCAGUGGCGAAGGCGGCUUGCUGGGUCGAUACUGACAUUGAGGCACGAAAGCGUGGGGAGCAAAC